This 497-nucleotide ribosomal RNA is filed under the name uncultured bacterium. Its description in RNAcentral is "partial 16S ribosomal RNA". It matches the Rfam family "Bacterial small subunit ribosomal RNA", at positions 28 to 507 of the family's 1533-position model. The record is from RNAcentral.
GACGAACGCUGGCGGCGUGCCUAAUACAUGCAAGUAGAACGCUGAAGAGAGGAGCUUGCUCUUCUUGGAUGAGUUGCGAACGGGUGAGUAACGCGUAGGUAACCUGCCUUGUAGCGGGGGAUAACUAUUGGAAACGAUAGCUAAUACCGCAUAACAAUGGAUGACACAUGUCAUUUAUUUGAAAGGGGCAAUUGCUCCACUACAAGAUGGACCUGCGUUGUAUUAGCUAGUAGGUGAGGUAAUGGCUCACCUAGGCGACGAUACAUAGCCGACCUGAGGGGGUGAUCGGCCACACUGGGACUGAGACACGGCCCAGACUCCUACGGGAGGCAGCAGUAGGGAAUCUUCGGCAAUGGGGGCAACCCUGACCGAGCAACGCCGCGUGAGUGAAGAAGGUUUUCGGAUCGUAAAGCUCUGUUGUAAGUCAAGAACGGGUGUGAGAGUGGAAAGUUCACACUGUGACGGUAGCUUACCAGAAAGGGACGGCUAACUACGUG